Molecule: ribosomal RNA, 463 nt
Filed under: uncultured bacterium
Lineage: Bacteria
Description: partial 16S ribosomal RNA
Rfam family: Bacterial small subunit ribosomal RNA
Source: RNAcentral
ACGAACGCUGGCGGCGUGCUUAACACAUGCAAGUCGAACGGAAAGGCCCUGCUUGCAGGGUACUCGAGUGGCGAACGGGUGAGUAACACGUGGGUGAUCUGCCCUGCACUUCGGGAUAAGCCUGGGAAACUGGGUCUAAUACCGGAUAGGAGCCAUUUUUAGUGUGAUGGUUGGAAAGUUUUUUCGGUGUAGGAUGAGCUCGCGGCCUAUCAGCUUGUUGUGGGGUAAUGGCCUACCAAGGCGGCGACGGGUAGCCGGCCUGAGAGGGUGGACGGCCACAUUGGGACUGAGAUACGGCGCAGACUCCUACGGGAGGCAGCAGUGGGGAAUAUUGCACAAUGGGCGCAAGCCUGAUGCAGCGACGCCGCGUGGGGGAUGACGGCCUUCGGGUUGUAAACUCCUUUCGCUAGGGACGAAGCUUUUUGUGACGGUACCUAGAUAAGAAGCACCGGCUAACUACGUG